RNAcentral lists this ribosomal RNA (496 nucleotides) under Pseudidiomarina sediminum. RNAcentral's name for it is "bacterial SSU rRNA". It matches the Rfam family "Bacterial small subunit ribosomal RNA", at positions 38 to 524 of the family's 1533-position model. Lineage: Bacteria; Pseudomonadati; Pseudomonadota; Gammaproteobacteria; Alteromonadales; Idiomarinaceae. The record is from RNAcentral.
UGGGCGGGGCCUACACAUGCAAGUCGAGCGGUAACAGGAAGAAGCUUGCUUCUUUGCUGACGAGCGGCGGACGGGUGAGUAAUACUUGGGAACUUGCCUUUAGGAGGGGGAUAACCGCUGGAAACGGUGGCUAAUACCGCAUAAUGUCUACGGACCAAAGCAGGGGCUCUUCGGACCUUGCACCUAAAGAUAGGCCCAAGCGAGAUUAGCUAGUUGGUGGGGUAAAGGCCCACCAAGGCGACGAUCUCUAGCUGUUCUGAGAGGAUGAUCAGCCACACUGGGACUGAGACACGGCCCAGACUCCUACGGGAGGCAGCAGUGGGGAAUAUUGCACAAUGGGGGAAACCCUGAUGCAGCCAUGCCGCGUGUGUGAAGAAGGCCUUCGGGUUGUAAAGCACUUUCAGUGGUGAGGAAGGCCGUAAGAUUAAUACUCUUGCGGAUUGACGUUAACCACAGAAGAAGCACCGGCUAACUCCGUGCCAGCAGCCGCGGUAAU